This 164-nucleotide ribosomal RNA is filed under the name uncultured bacterium. Its description in RNAcentral is "partial 16S ribosomal RNA". It matches the Rfam family "Bacterial small subunit ribosomal RNA", at positions 354 to 509 of the family's 1533-position model. The record is from RNAcentral.
UAGGGGAAUCUUCCACAAUGGGCGAAAGCCUGAUGGAGCAACGCCGCGUGGGUGAAGAAGGUCUUCGGUAUCGUAAAACCCUGUUGUUAGAGAAGAAAGUGCGUGAGAGUAACUGUUCACGUUUCGACGGUAUCUAACCAGAAAGCCACGGCUAACUACGUGCC